AAUCGAUGGGAGCCCCGGUGUGCUCAUCACCCCACAAUUAUGUGUAAAAUUCCUGCCACGAACUUGGACUUGUUCAGAGAGGUGGCCGACUGGAAAGCAAGGGCAAGUCCCGUCUUCCACUAAAGCCUCUGAGGGACAAAAGGAGGACAAGCAGAUGGUGACCUCAGCUCGGUCCCUAAACUUGAGCUGGGCUGUUCAGCAAAACAAGCCUGAAAACUUGCCUGGAGGGAAUCCCAGGGGAGGCAGGGACUGCGGCUCUCGAAACAGGAGGAAGGUUGGAGUCUCCUGCAGGGCCUGGGGCGAGGCUUCAACUGCUGCCCAACGGGACCUGUUCGGUGCCUGGAUCCCCCGGCAAAGAGUGAGGUUUGAACCCCAGGAGAUCCCAGACAAUCGGCUCGCCAUGGGAGUCCCAGGCGGGGCCCACAGCCCCCUGUGGGCAGGCUGAAGGGGAACGGGUCAUGGGCAGUGCUUCUUGGCUCCGUGCCGGGUCCCCCUGAAGGGAAUUGGCCAUUCAUUCUUUAGCUCCCCCAGGCUGCCACAUCAGAGCACCGCAGACGGGGUGGAUUAAACAACGAAAUGGACUUUCUCACGGUUCGGGAAGCCAGGAGGGCAAGUUUGGUUUCUUUCAAGGCCUCCCUCCCUGGCUUGCAGAUGGCCGCCCUCUCUUGUGUCUUUUCCUGGCCUUUCCUCUGCACACGCUGCCCCCCGGGUCUCAGUGUCCAAAUUCCCUCUUCCUUUAGGACAUCAGUUGUGUUGUAUGAGGGCCCCCCACCCAUGGGCAUCAUCUUUUUUUUUUUAAUCUUCUUGGGCUGCCCCGCAGCAUAUGGAAUUCCCAGGCCAGGCAUCAGAUCCGAGCUGCAGUUUUGACCUAAGCUGCAGCUGUGGCAACACUGGAUCUUAACCUGCUGUACUGGGCUGGGGGUUGAACCUGCGUCUCCACCUUCCAGAGACACCACCAAUCCCGCUGUACCACACGUGCCCUCCUGUAACUUUAGUCACCUCUCUAAUGACCCCAUCUCCAAACACACUCAGAUUUGGAAGUUAGGGCUUCAACAGAUGAACCUGGAGGUGGGGAAGGGACACAGUUCAACCCAUAACACGUUCAUUCCCAACACUCCAGGGCCUGUGCGAGCCCCAUGUUCAUGGUGAGCUAGAAGGACAAAUGAUACUGGUUCUCCUUUAAAAUAGAUGUAUUGGAGUUCCCAUUGUGGCUCAGCAGAUGAAGAACCCGACAUAGUGUCCGUGAGGAUACAGGUUCAAUCCCUGGCCUUGCUCAGUGGGUUAAGGAUCUGGUGUUGCCGUGAGAUGCAGCAUAGUCCGCAGACACGGCCGGGAUCUAGCGUGGCUGUGGCAUAGGCUGGCAGCUGCGACUCUGAUUCAGCCCUUAGCCUGGGAACUUCCAUAUGCAGUGCAGCCAUAGAAAAAAUAUAAACAAUAAAAUAAAAAUGUAUUGGUGCCCAAAUGUCAGCCUCCAGGAGAGCUCAUGCCAAUGAAUACUCCCUGAUACCACUGCCACCAGUUUCCUCAUCCCCAGAGUGAGCCACAAUCGCCCCCCCCCCCAGGAGACCCUCCUAAGACCAGCAGGUUCUAUAUCCUAAGAAUCAUACUGAGGCAUUUCUCUGGUAUCGGAAGAAGAUUUCUGCAAUGGGUCUUGAAGGAGACUUGCUAUGUCGUGGAAAUACAGCCUCUGAGCUACAGGUUGAUGGGGACAUGGCUUCUUUCAGGCAAGAGACUGGAGCCCUAGAAGAAAUUGACUGGAUAAGGGUUUUUUUUAAAGGGAAAUUAUUAAAGGAAAGAAAAGGAAGAAAUAUGACAGCAGGGGAGCCAAGAGCAAAAAACAGACACCAGCUUGUGCUGCACCUCUGUAUAGAUUGAAGAAUGAAGCGAAAGAUCACCUGAAAGUAGGCAGUUUGGUCUUCAUGCCCAUCAGACCCAUUUACGGAAAAACACUUAAAUAUCCCGAAAGCUUGUUAUCGUAGAACAGAGGAACUUUGGGGAGGGUCUGUGAGUGCCGAGAGUGUGUCCUUUCUUCCUGCCAAUAACUGGGAACAAGACGUCUGUCAGGAAUUAAUCACGCUGGUGUCAAGGAUGACUUAGAAAGCAGGCAACGGCUAAGAGAUCGACUGUGUCAUCUUUAUCCUUAAGAAUAGUUUAAGCUGUUACAGGAGUUCCCAUUGUGGCUCAGAAGUAAUGAACCUGACUAGUAUCCAUGAGGACAUGGGUUCGAUUCCUUGCCUUGCUCAUUGGGUUAAGGAUCCGGCAUUGCUGUGGCAGCUCCAAUUUGACCCCUAGCCUGAGAAUUUCCAUAUGCUGCAAGUGUGGCUCUAAAAAGACAAAUAAAAUAAAGUAUAAAAAAUAAAAAUAUAUACACAAUGAAAUACUACUCAGCCAUAAAAAAGAACAAAAUAAUGCCAUUUGCAGCAACAUGGAUGGAAUGAGAGACUCUCAUACUAAGCGAAGUAAGUCAGAGAAAGACAAAUACCAUAUGAUAUCACUUAUAUCUGGAAUCUAAUAUACGGCACAAGUGAACCUUCCCACAGAAAAGAAAAUCACGGACGUGGAGAACAGACUUGUGGUUGCCAAGAGGGAGGGGGAGGGAGUAGGAGGGACUGGGAGUUUGGGGUUAAUAGAUGCAAGCAAGCUAUAGCCUUUGGAAUGGGAUCCUGCUGUGUAGCACUGGGAACUAUGUCUGGUCACUUGUGAUGGAGCAUGAGAAUGUGAGAAAAAGGAAUGUAUACAUGUAUGGGUGACUGGGUCACAUUGCUGUGCAGCAGAAAAUUGACAGAACACUGUAAAUCAGCUAUCAUGGAAAAAAUAAAAAUCAUUACCAAAAAAAGAACAGUUUAAGUUGUUACAAAUUGAUUGAUUGUAUUUUGAGCUCAUAGCUACAGUUACAUUCUCUCACAGGGAGAGUGGCUAAGCUUUUUAAUCUUUCUUUUGCAAAAGAGUAAAAGCAGCCCCCUGGCAUGAUUAGGAAUGGCCCUUUUUUACUUAAUAUAGAGUUGGAAUUUAUUGUGUUGGGUUAUGUAAAAGGCAAAGAAAAAUAAAUGAGUUUGAGUUCUGCUUUAAAAUAAAUGUAUUAAGUAGCGCUGACAUGUGGAUACAGGGAAAGUCACAAAGGUGAGGUUUUAAAUGACUUCAGUUUAGAAAACACUGAAAAAAAAACCCAAAAAAUAAAUGAAACAAAAUAAGAAGUAAGAGGGAGUUCCCAUUGUGACACAGCGGAAACAAAUCUGACUAGUAACCAUGAGAUUGCAGAUUUGAUCCCUGACCUCGCUCAGUGGGUUAAGGAUCUGGUGUUGCUGUGGCUGUAGAGUAGGCUGGCAGUUACAGUUCUGAUUCGACCCCUAGCCUGGGAACCUCCAUAUGUGGUGGGUGCAGCCC
This 3384-nucleotide long non-coding RNA is filed under the name Sus scrofa (pig). RNAcentral's name for it is "lncRNA (ENSSSCG00000056555.1)". Lineage: Eukaryota; Metazoa; Chordata; Mammalia; Artiodactyla; Suidae. The record is from RNAcentral.